Molecule: non-coding RNA, 70 nt
Organism: Caenorhabditis brenneri
Lineage: Eukaryota; Metazoa; Nematoda; Chromadorea; Rhabditida; Rhabditidae
Source: the annotation of a GenBank genome assembly
GCCUCGUGGCGCAGCGGCUAACGCUCUCGUUUUUGAAUUCCGCAUCCCGGGUUCAACCCCGGACGGGGCC